CUGCGAGUUCGCGGGAGAGUAGGUUAUUGCCAGGGUUUUUAUUUUUAUGCCUUAAUUCUUGAUUUUAUUUUUAUGUUUUUUUAAAUAUUAGUGUUUUUGAAUGUGUUGUUUAAAUAACAUAAAAAAUAAAAUAUAUAUUGACAUGGAUUAAACAAAGAUAUAUAUUAUUUUAUGUUGUAUAAACAAAUUGGCAAAAUAGAGAUGGAAGAUAAAAAUAUGGUCAAAGUAAUAAGAGUCUAUGGUGAAUGCCUAGGA
This 255-nucleotide unclassified non-coding RNA is filed under the name Borreliella sp. Ir-4812. The record is from RNAcentral. Lineage: Bacteria; Pseudomonadati; Spirochaetota; Spirochaetia; Spirochaetales; Borreliaceae.